CAUUCUUUUUUUCUUGUUCUAGCAGGAAUAUGGUUGGAAAGAGAAAUCAGCCGAUGACGAAACACGAAAAUAUUCGGAUAAACUACGAGACGUAUGUGCACUUGCCGAACGACUCGGCUGUUCCUUUGGACAAUUGGCUAUUGCAUGGUCUUUAAAAAAUGAAAGUGUUCAGUGCCUUCUUCUCGGUGCAUCAAAUAUUGAUCAAUUAUACGAGAGUCUUCAAAGUUUACAGCUAAUUCCAAAAUUAAAUGCUAAUAUAAUGAACGAAAUUGAAAGAAUUCUCGAUAAUAAACCAUCACGACCUCCGAUGAUUUCAACAUUGGCACUCAGAUGACAAUCAAUUUGCCCCCACGGAAGUGGUGGGGGCUCUUUAGAGGAUGGAGGUAGCCCAAAAAGCGAAGGUGCUAAUAGUCAAGAUCAAGAACAGACUAAAGAACUAACCGGCAAACUACCAUUUUGCGAAAUACAAUGAAACAAUGUUAGAUAUAUUUACGUAUAUUUAGAUAUAGUUUGAUCUUGAUCGAAUGAAAUUGGAUCGAUUAAAAUUGGAUUGAAGAUGACAAAAUUGUGCCAAGAGAGGUCACAUAAAUUUAAAUGAAAAAAAGAGAAAUAUUAAUUAUUAGUGCACGUUGUCCCAUACUCAACGUGUUAAGCGCGAAUACAUGUACAUAUUAUGUACUUAUAUCCACAUAAAAAUGAAUCAACGACAAUACUUAUA
Molecule: long non-coding RNA, 718 nt
Organism: Apis florea (little honeybee)
Lineage: Eukaryota; Metazoa; Arthropoda; Insecta; Hymenoptera; Apidae
Gene: Hk
Source: RefSeq, a predicted model, not a curated record